RNAcentral lists this ribosomal RNA (1368 nucleotides) under uncultured bacterium. Its description in RNAcentral is "bacterial SSU rRNA". It matches the Rfam family "Bacterial small subunit ribosomal RNA". The record is from RNAcentral.
AGAGUUUGAUCCUGGCUCAGGACGAACGCUGGCGGCACGCUUAACACAUGCAAGUCGAACGAGAGAAGAGAAGCUUGCUUUUCUGAUCUAGUGGCGGACGGGUGAGUAACACGUGAGCAAUCUGCCUUUCAGAGGGGGAUACCGAUUGGAAACGAUCGUUAAUACCGCAUAAUAUAAUUGAACCGCAUGAUUUGAUUAUCAAAGAUUUAUCGCUGAAAGAUGAGCUCGCGUCUGAUUAGCUAGUUGGUAAGGUAACGGCUUACCAAGGCGACGAUCAGUAGCCGGACUGAGAGGUUGAUCGGCCACAUUGGGACUGAGACACGGCCCAGACUCCUACGGGAGGCAGCAGUGGGGAAUAUUGCACAAUGGGGGAAACCCUGAUGCAGCGACGCCGCGUGGAGGAAGAAGGUCUUCGGAUUGUAAACUCCUGUUGUUGAGGAAGAUAAUGACGGUACUCAACAAGGAAGUGACGGCUAACUACGUGCCAGCAGCCGCGGUAAAACGUAGGUCACAAGCGUUGUCCGGAAUUACUGGGUGUAAAGGGAGCGCAGGCGGGAAGACAAGUUGGAAGUGAAAUCUAUGGGCUCAACCCAUAAACUGCUUUCAAAACUGUUUUUCUUGAGUAGUGCAGAGGUAGGCGGAAUUCCCGGUGUAGCGGUGGAAUGCGUAGAUAUCGGGAGGAACACCAGUGGCGAAGGCGGCCUACUGGGCACCAACUGACGCUGAGGCUCGAAAGUGUGGGUAGCAAACAGGAUUAGAUACCCUGGUAGUCCACACCGUAAACGAUGAUUACUAGGUGUUGGAGGAUUGACCCCUUCAGUGCCGCAGUUAACACAAUAAGUAAUCCACCUGGGGAGUACGACCGCAAGGUUGAAACUCAAAGGAAUUGACGGGGGCCCGCACAAGCAGUGGAGUAUGUGGUUUAAUUCGACGCAACGCGAAGAACCUUACCAAGUCUUGACAUCCCUUGACGAACAUAGAAAUAUGUUUUCUCUUCGGAGCAAGGAGACAGGUGGUGCAUGGUUGUCGUCAGCUCGUGUCGUGAGAUGUUGGGUUAAGUCCCGCAACGAGCGCAACCCUUACUGUCAGUUACUACGCAAGAGGACUCUGGCAGGACUGCCGUUGACAAAACGGAGGAAGGUGGGGAUGACGUCAAAUCAUCAUGCCCUUUAUGACUUGGGCUACACACGUACUACAAUGGCGGUAAACAAAGAGAAGCAAGACCGCGAGGUGGAGCAAAACUCAGAAACAACGUCCCAGUUCGGACUGCAGGCUGCAACUCGCCUGCACGAAGUCGGAAUUGCUAGUAAUCGUGGAUCAGCAUGCCACGGUGAAUACGUUCCCGGGCCUUGCACUCACCGCCCGUCA